CAGAGGUGGCAAGCGUUGUUCGGAAUUACUGGGCGUAAAGGGCGCGUAGGCGGCCGCCUAAGUCAGACGUGAAAUCCCCAAGCUUAACUUGGGAACGUGCGUCUGAUACUGGGUGGCUUGAGUUCGGGAGGAGGAAUGUGGAAUUCCAGGUGUAGCGGUGAAAUGCGUAGAUAUCUGGAGGAACACCGGUGGCGAAGGCGGCAUUCUGGACCGAAACUGACGCUGAGGCGCGAAAGCCAGGGGAGCAAACGGGAUUAGAUACCCCGGUAGUCCUGGCCCUAAACGAUGAGUGCUUGGUGUGGUGGGUAUCGAUCCCUGCCGUGCCGAAGCUAACGCAUUAAGCACUCCGCCUGGGGAGUACGGUCGCAAGGCUG
Molecule: ribosomal RNA, 374 nt
Filed under: uncultured organism
Description: bacterial SSU rRNA
Rfam family: Bacterial small subunit ribosomal RNA
Source: RNAcentral